Molecule: long non-coding RNA, 2466 nt
Organism: Parus major (Great Tit)
Lineage: Eukaryota; Metazoa; Chordata; Aves; Passeriformes; Paridae
Source: Ensembl
AUGUGCGGCGGCGCGGGCGGCGGGGGAGCGGCGCCCCAGAGCCGCGCCGCGCCGCUUCCUGCCGCUAUAAAUAGCGCCCGGCCCAACAUGUCCCGGCCGCCGCAGCGGCUGCAGCGCCGGCGGGACCCGCCGUGCCCUCCCGCCGCCUCGCCCGCACGGAGCGCGCUCUUCCAAGCCCAACUUGUGACGAUGGUGCAGAGACCCAGGAGGCCAUGUAAAAAAGAGAACGUGCUCUCAGAGCCUCGUCUUGGGAGCCUUGCCUUCAGUGCAGGUGGGAGGGAUGGCAGUGCUGCUGUGGCAGUGCUCUUUUUUGAGUGCCAUGAACCACGAGGCAAGCUGAGCUGGCAUGUACUUUCCCCUCUGCUGUGAGGGGAAGGAGCAGAUGAGGAGGAAAUGCAGCUGUUCCAGAGCACUUCUGCCCUCUGUCCAAAGGGAGCACGUGAGGGGGGAGGACAGACGCAGAAAGGGAGAUUCAGGAAGAGACUAUGGGGGGUUGGGGAGGGACGAGAGGAAAGCUACAAAUGGAGAGGAAAGGCUCUUCAUGUAUGCACAAAUAUUAUUUAAAUAUUUAUUUAGCUAGAGUGAGAGCAAAUAGCCUAAAAUUACGAGAUUGUAUCUCUUGAAUCCCUGUUAUUAUUCCUCCAGAAAGUGCUGCUUUUCGUUCCUCGAUUAUUAUGUGUGUCCUUCUGCCUCACUCUUCUAGGCUCUUCAGCAUUCUCUGACCUCAAGCUGAGCAGGACGCUGCCCUUGGCAUCUGUUUGUCAAAUGUGUAUUCUCCGUGUUGUACAUGAAAUGAUUAUUUCCAUAGUUGGUUAAGGCAAGUUUCCGAGGAAUGUGAAGCAAGAGGCACGCCAGUUCCUGUGGCUGGCCUUGACUGGAGUGCAGGCAUUUUGGGACAGGGGCUGUGCCUGGAGACUGUAGUUACUGUGCCUGUUAUCCUUGGCAGCUUAGAGAUUCCUGCCUCUGCUCCUGUCCCUCCCACCCUUCUCUCAGGUCUUAUUGCUGCUCACCUGUUCAUCUGCCUGUGCUGCAGCUGCUUUGGCCUCUCACAGUUACCUGUGGGGCUGUGCUGAAAAGCUCUGAAGUCUGAGUAAGGAGAAAAAGAGAGAGCAGCUACUCCCUUGUCUGUAGAGAAUCCCGUCUCAGCCCUGUGCUGAGUCUCCCCUGCAACCUGCUUUGAGACCCCUCACCCCAACAACUGGCUGUUAAAGCAGUCAAAGCUCUCUAGUCCUAUUUACUGCUCCUGCCUUGCUAUUUCUUCUGAAAUUACACUUUUAACUUUCUUCAGGAUUAGUUUACUCUCUGAAUGGCAUCAGGUAGUAAGGUACUGUCUUUGGGGACUGCAUGGCUACAAGACUACUGAACCUUUUUUUUUUAAUGGAUAACCCAGUUGCCUACCCCAGCAGAGUUUCAUUGCUUUUACCUUUAUAGUACACUCAGAAAUGGAAGUGUGCACCUAAGAAAAGGUAUUGGCUAUGGAAGGAACCAUUUUCCUGUUACCUGUGGUAACAGCUAUGGUCUUUACACCUGAUGAUCUCCAGACCCCAAAAAAGCUGCUGAGAAGCACGAGCAAUGCUAAUCCCUUUGAGAAGGGAGCAUGCUGGAGUAUUUCUCUCCAUUACAUACACUGCAUAAAGUUCUAACAGCUAUUUAGUGUUCUACUGUGCUUGUAUAAACCCAUCUGCUCUGUGGGGAGAAAAGAGUGUAUGUUGGUGUUGUCUGACACUUGUGACAUGAUAGGAAGGCAUAGGGUUCCUUUGGAGCACAUGUAUUGUUGAUGGUGUACAUAUACAAUUUAGUAAAAUGUCUUUAUGCAGCAGCUUUGAGAAAUGUUCUGUGCUUUUAACUACCUUGAAUCUUCAUCUGGUUAAUGGACUUGUGUAUAGAAACCAUAUAAAAUAAUGAUGCAGCAGAAGGGCGCGUUUCUUUAAAGUUUAUGCUUUUGCCAAGGUAAACAUAUCUUAAUUACAGCUUUGUCACAAUAAUGAAGUGUUAUCAAAAAUUAAAUCUAAUUAAAUACUUUUGUGUUCUUUCUACUGAUUUCUCUUAUUCUUGACUCCAACACUUUCUCAUUUCCUUCAUGUGGUGCACUCUAACAUUUGGUCUUGGGAUCUGUUUUAAAAAGGGCCUGUUUACUGUCUCGGUUCAAAAUCCAUGGUGCUAGCUAUGUUGGAGUAGGGGUGUGGAGACCCAGUAUACGGGGAGAUAAUUAAAUUCUGGGAUGGUAGAACAGAUUUUGGUAGUACUGAAGAAGUGUGUAGUGUAAGUAGCCACAGAUCUUCAAGGCAGCUGUCUGUCCUGUGUGCAGUUAACACCUACUUGUUUAGCUCUUUACUUCAAAGGGGUACGUGAAAACCUGUUAUUGAAUAAUAACUGCUGAACUGUUAGUUGGCAGAUAGCCCAGAAAAGGCAUUAUUAAAAAGUAAACUUAAUAAAGAUGUCAAUAAUCAUGCUUUAGUGGCUUGG